GCGGGCGGGGAUCUCAGGCACGUGGGUUCCCGCCGCGGCGACUGGACGCCGGCGCUGGCAAGCGAGAGUCGCGGCCGGGGCACUGCGGGCUGACGAGCGCCCUGCGAGACCAAGAUUGGAGCAGAAGAGGCAGUCCGGGGAAGGCUCGGCCUGGCUGACUUCCCGUGACCCAGAGCCCAAGCUGUCUCCACCUCCCUGUCUCAGGAGCCCGGGCACUGCCUGCCCUGAGAAAUGCUGGAAGCUGGGCGAGGCCCCAGGCCAGGGGACCUGUUUUUCCUGUUUCCCACAGAGUUCCCUGCAGCUCAGUCCAGGGGUCCAGGCGGGUGCAUUCAUGAGUGAGGAACCUGAGCCUGCACUGAGCAUCCUGACAGCUGAGAGCAGGGGCUGGUCAGGGCGAUGGCCACAGACCCGGGCCUCUGGAAUGGCACCAUCAAUGGCACCUGGGAUGGGGAUGAGCUGGGCUACAAGUGCCGCUUCAAUGAGAACUUCAAGUACGUGCUACUACCUGUGUCCUACGGCGUGGUGUGCGUGCUCGGGCUGUGUCUGAACGCCGUGGCUCUCUACAUCUUCCUGUGCCGCCUCAAGACCUGGAACGCCUCCACCACAUACAUGUUCCACUUGGCCAUGUCGGAUGCGCUGUACGCGGCCUCCCUGCCCCUGCUGGUCUAUUACUAUGCCCGCGGUGACCACUGGCCCUUCAGCACAGUGCUCUGCAAGCUGGUGCGCUUCCUCUUCUACACCAACCUUUACUGCAGCAUCCUCUUCCUCACGUGCAUCAGUGUGCACCGAUGCCUGGGUGUCUUGCGUCCACUGCGCUCGCUGCGCUGGGGCCGGGCCCGCUAUGCCCGCAGGGUGGCCGUUGCCGUGUGGGUGCUGGUGCUGGCCUGCCAGGCACCCGUGCUUUACUUCGUCACCACCAGUGCACGUGGCGGCCGCAUUACCUGCCACGACACCUCGGCACCCGAGCUCUUCAGCCACUUCGUGGCCUACAGCUCCAUCAUGCUGAGCCUGCUCUUCGCGGUGCCCUUCGCCAUCAUCCUGGUCUGUUAUGUGCUCAUGGCUCGGCGGCUGCUAAAGCCAACCUACGGGACCACGGGAGGCCUGCCGCGGGCCAAGCGCAAGUCGGUGCGCACCAUUGCCGUGGUGCUAGCGGUCUUCGCCCUCUGCUUCCUGCCUUUCCACGUCACCCGCACCCUCUACUACUCCUUCCGCUCGCUGGACCUCAGCUGCCACACCCUCAACGCCAUCAACAUGGCUUACAAAGUCACCCGGCCACUGGCCAGCGCCAACAGUUGUCUUGACCCUGUGCUGUACUUCCUGGCUGGGCAGAGGCUCGUGCGCUUUGCUCGGGAUGCCAAGCCACCCACAGACCCCACCCCUACCACCCAGCUUCGCCGCCGGCUGGGCCUGCACAGGUUCAACAGAACUGACACUAAGAGGACAGAAGACUCGGCCAGCAGUGAGAACUCUAGACAAACAGAGCCCACACCGUCUGGUGGUGAAAACACUAAGGACGUCUGGCUGUAGGACCUGAACCCCUUGGGCCUGUGCCAGUUUGUGUCGGGUGAGACUAUAGACUUGUUCAAAUGGGACAGUCUCCCCAGAUAUGGACCAUCAGUGAAUCAGGCCGGAUGGUCAAGGGGGCCGUGACCCCAGUGCUCUGUCAUUUGACAGGGGCGCAGUUUGUUCUCUGUGGUCCAGAGAGCUCAGCAGUCCCCACAUCCCCAGACACCAUUUGUAUGUGAGAUUUGGGGAGUAAGGUUUUAAGAAAGGCAAGGGUUUGGGGCCAGUGCUGCCCCUGGCCUGAAUCCCAUGUAAAUACCUGGCUGUGCCUGCCAAGGUACCUAGGCUGGGCUCCAGACUAAUCAAGUAAAGUGGAGAAACAGGCCCAGAGAGGAAAGUGACUUAACCAAGGUCACACAGCCAAGCCUGCGCCUGAGCUACCUGGGAGGGACAGGGUUGCAAGUUGACCAGAGGACCCUGGUAAGGAGUCAGGGAUGAGCCAGAGGUUCCCACGAUGAGUUGGAGUGGUCUGAGUGCCACCGUGGGCUCAGCUCUGAGGAGGACGCCCAGCCCAAGGGAUGAACGUCUGGGAACUGAUGUCAUAAACCCAUCUGGAGGCUGGGAGCCAGUUUGAGGCUGGGACUUGUACUAAAGGUGUUGUUACCUGCUGAGCCGGACCCCGUUGUGUAGUUGGAGGUUGGGGAUACAGCCUGGGGAGCUCUCACCAUCCACACUAGGGUCCUUUCUCCAACCUGUUCUCUUCUGCCACCUGCCUUCCCAGUAGAUGCCUCAGUGGUGGUCUCAUACGAGGAAUAUCCUCUCCAGACCCCAGGUCAUCCUCCACUUUAACGUUAACUGGCUUUUAUGCCUGGUUUUGCUGGGUGCAGAGGGGAGUCAGGUGGGGUCCCAGUCCUCAGGAUCCCCCAGUUUAGGAUUUAAUGGCGAUGACGAGUCAUGUGCUGGUAAAAGUUCAACCAUUUAGCUGACUCUCGUCAGGGGGUGAGGGGGUGAGGGGAACCCCUUAUUUGCAGCAUUGCCAGUUUCUGUGGUACAAAUACUCCUGCCACAGCCCGUUUCAGACUACCAAUGUGAUAUCAGCCUCCUUGCAAAAUUCCUGAAAAAUUAACAGAGGGCUCUUGAGAGCAGGUACAAGUUUCUCUAGCACACCACUGGAUAAUGCUGAGUGGUUGGGGCAGUGGACCAGGGCAUCAGGGAAGGCUUCCUGGAGUGGGUGGACUUCUGAGAAAAGCACUUCAUCAGAGAAGAACAUCCAGGUGCAGGUGCAUUCUAGGCAAAGACAUGGGGGCAGGAGAGCAGGGCCUGCAGGAACUGGAAGCCGGCUGGGCAGUUGGCGCCCAUGUUCAAGGCAGGAAUGGGGGGGGGGGUCACAAGGAGGCCAAGUCAGGGCUCCCUCCUUGCCCUGACCAUGAGGUUUCUUUUGCACUGGGGAUAAGCGUGGGAGAGAUUCACUCUUCCUGUCCAGUCCUCUGCCUCUUGGGAAAAUCCUGGCAUAAUGGUUGGUGCUCGGGCUGGGUCAGAGCUUAGUGUGGGGGAGAUGAGUCUCACCUGGGACAGGUUCUGGGUCUAGCCAGGACCACUCUGGAGAUAUGUGGAGUUCAUCUGGACAGGGCCCAGCCCUAGCCUUUGGGCAGGAAUAGGGCAAAACUGACAGACCUCACUUUGAACUUCAAGGAUAAGGAUUCUCUCUCUCUCUCUCUCCCUCUCCCUCUGGGAGACCCCUUGCCCGAUGGGCCCACUCUGCCUGAGAGAAGGUCCUUCUUUCCCCACCCCACCUACACCCGCCUCCUAUGACUUCUCCACCCUUCCCACUCUGCCUCUUCAAAACGGCGCCCCCCAGAGGUUGAUCACAUGGGCUCCCCCAUGUGACAGGGACCUGUCAUAAGCCAUGACCCAAAUGAUUCCUCUGCAUCGUGCAAUGUGGGUGACUUGCCCAAAGUAGUGUGAAAUGCUCACCUCCCACAUUCUAGGUUCUAUACUCCUGUUAAUGUAGCCUGGGUCCUUAUGAGCAUUUUUGCGAUGAUCUCUUACAGUCUGUCCUUGAGCCUUUCUUGCAGGCCUGAGCCUAUCUCUUUUUUACCAGCUGCUGCUCAGGCUGAACCCAAUCCCAGUUUAUAAGGUGCCUCUACCCAGGUGAGAUACUCUACUGGUCAGGAGUGUUAAUGCUGAGCUCUGACCCCCUCAGCCCUGCUCAGACUCAGAGGCAGGGAGUUAUACAUUGUGACUUUGGGGGCUCUCGAGUGUCUAUCUGUGGUUGGGGAUGGGGCUGUGUCCACCACAGGCCCAAGUUCCCCUAUAGUCCCCAUUCCUUUCAUGUCCUGCCCAGUUACCCCUCCAGCAGCUGUCCUGGAGACCCCAAGAACUGAGAGCCCCACAGCACAUAGAGACCACAUAGAGGCCUAGUGCCAGGAUGCCUUCCUUAAACCAACUGCCUACAGAUUUCUAAGGACACAGGACCUAGGGGACAGGAAGGCCUGACUCACCAUCUAAUCCUGUGGCAGGCACUGGUGGGGGUGGGGAAUGAAGACCCUAAGGGAACCAGGGACAGGCCCAGGGCCCCUCCUGCGGACCCUAGUCAAACUGGCUCUUCGGUGUGGACAUCUGGCCUUGUUCUCAGUGCCCAGGCCCCCCGCCUGGUGGGUGAGGUUCUUUACCCUGUUGCCUUAUACUAUUUUCAGCCCAAGUAAGAACAGGAUUUUCCAUUCCCAGCCCCAGACCAUUGUCCAGCAGUGACGUGGAGGGACCUGCCUGCUCUCAAAAUAUCUCCUCUUACUCUCCGAGCCUUGCUGCCCUUUCCCCACCUCCUCGCCCUGACAUCACUUCCUGGGGCUGUUGACUCCUGAAGGACGCUGUGAAAGGUCACAGCCCCUGACAGGGACCCCAGGGAUUAUCCAGCCCAGCUGCAGACUCAAGGCCAGAAAGGGGCAUGGCCUUGUCCAAGGUCACUCAGCAGGUCAGCGUGGCGCCUGGUCGUGUGCCAGGGGCUCGGGCUGCCCCUGCGGCUCUGCUCCAUUUAGUGCAGGUCAGUGCCUUUGUGGGAAUCCUGCCAUCACCCCCACCACCCCAGCUCUUCCCACCUCUGAUGGAGCUGGGGAGCUGAGGCCAGGGACCUGGGGUGGAGGGGGGCAGGGAAAGCAGCUCGGAGGAGUAAAUGCCUGCUGAUUGGCCUACAGCAGCUCUUCUCAGUGAGCUCCAUGCAACGGGGGCAGGGGCCCUGGCACAUAGGGGUCUCUGCCCCGCGUGGCAUUUGUCCCAGGGCCCAGGAGGGACACUCUCACCCUCCAAAGGCUAGGAAAGGCCCUGGCCAACAUGCCCUCCAGACACAGUUACUCCUAUCUUGGUCCAGGUCAGGCCACCAAAGCUACCCCUCUGCCACCACCCUUGUCAAGGCAGAUUUGGGCUGAUCUGUUUAGAGCCAGGCCCCUGAGGAAGGGAGCUAAGGUACUGACCCAUGUCCCAGGCACCAGGCAGGGCUCUCUCACAUCCAUUAUUAUUUAUUCUUUACCACCACCGUGUGAAAUAGACAUUAUUACCCCCAUUUAGCAGAUGAGAGGACAGGCUCUGAGAGGUGAGGACUUGCUCCAGGUUAUACAGGCAGUAAAUGGGUGAGUCAAGAUUGAGUUCAGGUCCAUCUGAUGCCCAGACUAGUUCCCUUUCCAGUAUCCCAUGCCACUUGCAACCCCUGCGGGGCAGGAGAGUUUGUAAGCGACCCUUUGUGUGAUUCAAGAUGAGAGAGGCAGUCUAGUGAGGAUGCAGUUAAGAGCACCAGUUCUCUGCCCAGACCACCUGCCUCUGAGGGUUGUCUCAACUUCUUCCAGCUGUGGCAUCUUGGGCAAAUCAAUCUUGCAGCACCUCCAUUUUCUCAUUUCUAGAAGGAGAUACUACCUCCCAUGUAGGGCAUUGGGAGGCUUACCUGAAUGAAUACACAUGAAGCACUUAGAACAGGGCCUGGCACAUGAUAAGCAUUUUCACUCCAGGCACUGUGCCAAGGGGAUACAGAGGCGAGCCAGCUGGACCCUGCCCUCAGGGAGUUGACAUAACUUAAUAAGUAACCACAUUGGGAUAAGUGAGUUGAAGGAAAGGACAGUGUGUCCGGCCAGUGAGCAAUAGAGUGUCCGCUGUGGCUGAGGCUUCCCCAGGGUGUGGGAGGAAAGAGCAGGUCCAUCCUGGGGUGAGGUGUGGGACCACCUUCUGCCCUGCUUGGCACUGGGUGGCUCUCAGGCUCAUGAGCUUGUGUGUGUUUACAGAACCUUGUCCAGGUGAUGGGCUGUGGAAGGGCAGUAAGGAGAAGUGAUGGCAGGAGGAGGAAGAGGAGGAUGUCUCUGAUCUUCCAGAGCCCGCCCCUAUGGGCUUGAGGGCUCCCACCCACCCAUGGCAGCAGGCUUAGCCAUUUCUCCCUGACUGGUGGUGCCCACCACAGGGUGCUGCAGCCUCUCCUUGGUUUAUCCAAGAGUCAGAGACCCAGGGCUGGAGGACUGGCCUGAGGCUGGGCCAGAGCAGACAAUGGAUGGGCAUUUUUGCUGUGUGACCUGAGGCCAACUGCUUGCCCUCUCUGGGUCACUCUAUAGAACCCGGAGACCUUGCUUCCCACAUUCCAGUUCUCCCUACCUUAGGGCAGCAGUCACCCAGAUUUUUCAUCAAAGACACAACUAACAGCUACUCCCCCAGGCACUCCCAAGACCCCAUGAGCCCUCAGUUCUGAGGACUAGAGUGGCACAGUGGGUCUCCCCUAGUAUCAAGUGACCAGAAAGGUGAAGUGACACCACUGGCACCACACAUUGCCUUGGAGUGGAUCCAGUUGAAUGUCUGAUGCUUCUGCCUCCUGUGGAGUGGAGACUGGAAUUUGGCCAGGAGUCACUGGGCUGCAGGAUGAAGGAUGCAUUUACCUUCCCCAGGGGUAUGUGCUUGAGGUGGGGGGUGAAGGGUGGGGGAAAUGAGCCCCAGAAGCCAAACUCAUCCUCCUCUGUCCUGAUGCACCAUGUGACAUGGUGAAUACUUUUUUCUCUCUGGGCCUCAGUUUCCAAUUUCCCCAUAUCAACAGGCCUUGGCUCUGCCCAGCCACUCCAGCCUCUUCAGUAGGGCUUGUCUCUCUCUUGGCUCUGGCUCAGCCAGGUGUCCAGUCUCAGCCCUGUCCCCGCUAGGAACAAUGGGCAAGACCGAGCCAGCCCCCAGGGCCUCACCUGAGACUAUUUUCAGCCCUUGGAGAUGAAGUCAGAAAAGGAUUUUCCACUCCCAGCACAAUGGCUGCGCUGCACCAUUGUCCAGCAGGGCAUCCGCCUGCCCCAAAGUAUCUCCCCUGCUUCUACCCUCUGGGCCUCCCUGCCCUGCUUCUCACUUCCCAAACUUGACAUCACUUCCUGGACCUGUUACUCCUAAAAGCCACUGUGAAACAGCAUGUGAGCCCCCUGGGAGACCUGACCAAUUGGAAUCAGUUUUCCCUCUUGGCAGGGACCCCAGGGAUUAUUUGGCUGCUUUGAGAGAUUGGAGACCAGAGAGGGCUGUGCCUCACCCAAGGUCAUGCAGCGGUCAGCAUAGAGACUAAAUGUGAGGCCAGGGCUCUCUGGCUUCUUCUGUUUCCUCCAUCAGCACUGGUCUGUACCUCCUGGGAGUGACAGCUCAUCUUGGAAGGCCUGGGGUGGACAUCCUGGGGAGAAGCCUGGGUGAUGUGGGUGAGAGGGGGUGUACCUUGGGUUCUGACCUUGGAGCUCCCCAUUCAGUUCUGUUUGUACCAACUGUGGCUUUAGUGUGUGCUGAACUCAGAGUUACCAAGUAGCAGCUUCAGGGAAAGGAGGAGGUCUGGGGACACAGGGAAGCUGAGGCAGGAAGAUCAGGGUUCUGGCCCAGUUUAGCCACCACUAGCUCUGUGAUUGCAAACUCAGUUUCUUCAUCUGUAAAAUGGAACUGAUAGUACCUCCUUUUCCAGUUUACUGAACAGUGAGCAUGCAGUAAGGCACAAACGUGCAACUGUUUUAUUUUUCUCCCAUCGACUCUCUCUGCUUGAUGAUGUCUAAUUUCCCUUUUCCAUCCAUAACUGCAUAUUUGGUAAACUCCAAAACUUUGAGUCACUUUUGGAUAACAACUAAAGUUCAGUCCAGUUUAAAAUUCCAAUCGCCUACUUAAUUUACUUCUCCCUCCUCCUCUUCCCCUGUGCUGGGAGGACCCUGCUCCCUCUCCUUUGCGUGCCCCUCUCCUCUGGAUGUGGGGCAAGGUGAGGAGGAAAGGGACCAGUGGAUCAUCCCCAGGACUGCCACAGCCCCCUCUUGCUGUCCUUGCUUCUCUGAUCCUGACAACCUGACAUCAGUGCCCCUCUGCAUGGAGUCUCCCAAACACCAGACCACACUUUUGUAAGAGUCUCUUCAUUAAACAAUCCCAAAGUCACCAAUUUGAGCAUGACCCAUCUUUCCUGCUGAGACUCUUUAACUGAUAUACUCCAGUCUCCCUGAGUAAUUUUCCUAGAGCAUCCCUCACCUGGCUUGAGAGUGGGAAAGCCCUUGUCCGGCCCCCUCCCGCCUCCCACUAGGUUGUAAACUCACAGCUGCAGAGAUGUCAGGUGUUCAGCUUGUAGAGUCAAGAGUGAUGGGUGGGGAACUUCCCUGGUGGCACAGUGGAUAAGACUCCGUGCUCCCAACGCAGGGGGCCCAGGUUCGAUCCCUGGCCAGGGAAUUAGAUCCCACAUGCAUGCCGCAACUAAGGAGCCCACCUGCCGCAACUAAGACCUGAUGCAACUAAAUAAAUAAAUAAUAAUUUUUUAAAAAAAGUGAAGGGUGGUAGAGAGCUGGGGUAAUAAACUCAGAGAAGGUUUCUAACCCCAAUUGUUUUCAGGUUACUUUAGUAGGUGGGUAUUUUACCCCUCUGUGUCCUCAGAUUUAUGUCCUGGAGCCAAAUUCCAAAUCAGCAGCCGCAUGAAAAGUCCUACCUCACUGUGGGAUUAAACUGUCAGACCAGCCUUUGUGACCAAAGCAAUUGCAAAAUGUGGGGGAGGAAAUUAAAAGUCGUCACCCAGCCUGUGGUAGUGUGUGUGUGUGUGUGUGUGUGUGUGUGUGUGUGUGUUUAUGUCUGUGUUUAUGUCACACACAGUGGUCACAUCUGUGUGUGAGGGAGAAGGCUGAGGGGUAGGGGCUGUCCCGGCAGGUACCAAAUAGAUACCUGGAGACAGAAGGGCCACAGGUGGGUGCCUAGCCUGUGGGAGAAAGAGAGGGACCAGGAGGGGCUGCCAUGAAGUCAAACUAAAACCAGGAGAUGGAAGUAGACAGGGCUGGGGAUGACAGGAAGAGAUAGGAGUGGGGAGAGGAUCCAGCUGCCAGCUCUGUAGACCCCCUUUCCUUCUCUCCCUCGCCAUUCUUCCUCCCUUUCCUUCAGUUUCCUCCCUCCUUACUGCCCAUUUCCCUCACCCUUUUGUUCCCUGUCCCCAGAAUUCCUGGGAACAAAGGAAAUCAAAAGGGGCAGUUCAGAGCUUCAGACGUAUGCCUUCAAUCUGAGUGCUGGCUCAGCUCCCUCGCCUGGCUGUGCUUAGUCUACUGUGGGUCCUGGGUUCACGGAUGCUGCCCUGCUGCCCCCUGGUGCCCAGAGCUGGCGGCAGAGGGAGGAAUGGGGGCUGGGGUCCAGACUCUCACCUGUGGAGUGAUGAGAAGAAAAUGAUCCUGCUGGCAGCCAGGUUGUUGGAGUGUGCGAGAUAGGGGUAGGACUGAGAAUUGAAACUGGGAACACAAUUUGCAAAACAUACCUGAUUUACAAAACAGUUAACAGUGCCUGACCAAGCCGUGAUGUCCAUCUCAGACUAAGCUCAUAGAGGACAGCUCUAUGAUGUCCUCUGGCCAUGGGUAUUCCUUUAACCUCCUGCUUACCUUCCAGAGGUCCCAGAUGGUGUUCCCCACCUUCACUGGCUGCCAGGAACACACCCAAACCCUGGGUCUGAGGACACAGCUGAAUGUUGGGGAGUGGGGCUAGAGAGGCCCUCCCAAAGGACUUGCAGAUCUGGGGCUGGGCUCUAGGCCUUGAGGACCAGCCUCUCCAUCUGGUCUGGGAGCUCUUCUGAAGGGAAGUCAGAAUCUUCUCCCCUCUCUGAAGCUGGGGUCUCUGAAAGGGUUUAUCCCGCCAACAAGGGUCCUCUCUGUACCUCCCUAACACCCUGACAUCAUUUGCAUCUUCCCCCCACAUCCAGAGAUGGAGAGAUCACUCCCUCCUAGGCAACCCCUGUCCCUGUGGGAGAGCCCUCCUCAAAGGAGCCCUGUCUCCCCAGCUUGGCCUUAGGGGCACACGGCACACCUGCCCUCAGCCCAAGGCAGCCACGGGAAGGUGUCACCAUGACCCUGAGUUGGCUCUUCUCCAAGUUGGCAUCCCCAGCUCCCUACCCUACCCCCUUCCAGGGCUACCCUGCCCCACUCCAGGGCCUCCACCCCUACCAGAAGCCCUGCCCUCUGUAUGCCCCCAGAAGUCCUUGCCUCCUUGAAUGGCAGCCUCUACAACAGGACUCCAUCCCCUGGGAGGUGUGACUGAGCUCAGCUGCUCCUCCCGGCGUCCCCUGUGACACCAUCUGGGAAGAAAUAAGAGCUUACCCACCACCCACGAGAUGCCUGUGAUUUGGAUCCCACCAGCAUGGCACUAGAUAAAAUGCAUCUGACUCUCAAUCAUGAGGAAGGGGAGGCCCUUGGGAUAGAGUGGGAAGCAAAAAUUAAGGGGGGGAGCCUCGGCCAGCCCUCUAGGCCCCACCCCACAUCCUCACCCCAGACCCACACGCCUUGUCCACAAGCUUUCACUCCACCUAGACCCGGGUGCCCUCAUCCACGAGGCACAGAAGCACAUAAACCUUGAAGACUUAUAUUUGAAUCUUGGCUCUGCCACUCAUUAAUCAGAUGACCUUGGGCAUCUCAGUUUCCUCGUCAUAAAAAAGAGGGAUAAUCGGGCUUCCCUGGUGGCGCAGCGGUUGAGAGUCCGCCUGCCGAUGCAGGGGACACGGGUUCGUGCCCCGGUCUGGGAAGAUCCCACAUGCCGCGGAGCGGCUGGGCCCGUGAGCCAUGGCUGCUGAGCCUGUGCGUCCGGAGCUUGUGCUCCGCAACGGGAGAGGCCACAGCAGUGAGAGGCCCGCGUGCCACAAAAAAAAAAGAGGGAUAAUCACACUCACUUUACAUUCUAUUUGCUUGUUUGUUUGUUUGUUUAUUUAUUUAUAUUUUUGGCUGCAUUGGGUCUUCGUUGCUGCUUGCGGACUUUCUCUGGUUGCAGCGAGUGGGGGCUACUCUUCGUUGUGGUGUGUGGGCUUCUCAUUGUGGUGGCUUCUCUUAUUGCGGAGCACAGGCUCUAGGCGCACAAGCUUCAGUAGUUGUGGCACGCAGGCUCAGUAGUUGUGGCGCACGGGCUUAGUUGCUCCGCAGCAUGUGGUAUCUGCCCGGACCAGGGAUCGUACCCGUGUCCCCUGUAUUGGCAGGCAGAUUCUUAACCACUGCGCCACCAGGGAAGUCCCUAAUGUUUUAUUUGUAUUGUCUGUCCCUUCCUGAAAGCUCCCAGAGGACAGGAGUUUUUGUCUAGUUUUGUCACUGCUUUACCCCAGUGCCUAGAACGGUGCCUAGUGCAUAGUAGGUGCACAACAAUUACUUACUUACUGAAUGAAUGAGAUUCAUAGUGAGGAAUAAACGAGAUAAACCGUGUAACUGUUUUGCAGAACAUCUAGUACCAGUGGGUACUCAUAUAAUUCCUUUCCUUUGCAAAGCAAGUCAAAUUAAUUAUUUCGUGUAAGUUUCACAAGGGCCCUUUGAGGCAGGAACCUUAUUAUUAUUGAUUCAUUCGUUAUUUAUUCAACAAAUAUUUACCAAGAUCCUACUAUGUUGUAGGCAUUGUUGUAGGUAUUUGGAAAUCAUCAGUAAAUGAAAAAGAAAGAUCCUUCCCUCGGAGCUUAUAGCCUAGUAGGGUGAGAGAGACAAAAAGCAACAGAUAUCAUAAAGUGUAAAUUCCGUGCUGUGUUAGGAGGUGACAAGUGCUGUGGGGAAAACAGCAGAGUGGAAAGAGGGAUUAGGAGGACAAGGAGGAUGUGAUUUUUAAAUAGGGUGGUCAGGUGAAGCCUCAGGAGAGGCUAUAAAGAGGGCAUUCGAACAGACUUGAAGGAGAGCCUUUGAGCCGGAGGGAACAGUAAGUGCAAAGGUCUGGCUGCCCGAGGAAGGAGGCUGGUGCCUGGGGUGAAGACGGAAGAAGUGAAGUGGAGGCCAGAGGUUGGUGGAAUCUUGUAGGACAGUGAGUGAGGUGGAAAGCCAUUGCAGAGAUACAGUGUGCCUUAUGUUUUAGAAGGCUAAAUCUGGCUUCAGUGUGGUGAAUAAACCACAGUGGGGUGAGGAUGGGAGCAGCCAGAGCAGGAAGGAGCCAAUGAAGAAAUCCAGGUGAGAGAUCAUGAGGAUUAGGACCAGAUGGAGGCAAUGGAGGUGGUGAGAAAUGGACUGAUGCCAGAUGUAUUUUGAAGGAAGAUCAAGCAGGAUACCUGACAGUUUUUUCUUGCAGGGUUUGGCAGGCAGUAAAACCAAGAUCCAGAGAAGACCUAGCGAGGUGCCACACAGCUGGUCAGAGGGUGGGGUGGAGGAGUGGAGGAUGGGGCCGGGCUGUGUGGAAGGUCCCCAGGUCUAGGGCAGAGUGGGAGAAAGGCUUCUGCUGCAGAAGGUCACAAACCAGCCCCAGGGCAUCUGGGCAUUGAUUUGAUCCAUGGCUUUUUUCCUCUUCCCCUGAAUUCCCCUGUGAUGGCCUUUUAAUUGAGUCCAUCUUUUCCAAGAACUCGGGCUGAGCAAACGCCAGAGUGUUUGCCUAUUAUUAAGUAGAUUAGUAAAUGGCCCUGGGUCCUGGGCUGCCAGCAAAGUCAGAGUAGCUGCACAGCAUCUCUGAGGAGUAACCCCAGGCCCUUGGUGCACUGCAGGUCUGUGCCAGGUGGCUUACCUUUGCCCAUGCUGCCCCACCAUCUGCAGUGUCCUUGCUCACUUGGUAAAUGCCACCUCCUCCUCCUCCAAGCCUUGCGGAUCACCAUCCCUGCCCUCGCUGGCUCAUCUCCCUGGGCAGAGAACUCACACAAGUGCCGAGGAGGGUUGCCUCAUUGCAGGGCCUGCCUCUGACAGAGGGCAGACAUGGUCCAACUCAAAGUUAUCAGGGAAGAGAGAGCAUGUACUUCACCCAAACAGCAUCGACAUCACAAUCCUGCUAAAGUAAAAGAGACUUUUCCGUCUCUCCCAGUUCCUCCUCAGGAGGAGGGGGAGGGGGGCAGAGAGAGGAGGAGGAGAGGAAUUAGUGUUAAAUUCACAAAACGGAAAUUAGCUGGAAAUGUAAGCUCGACUGGAGAAAAAGAAAACUGUCUCAUGGCAAUAACAAAUUCAGACUGUUAAAAAAAAUUGGUUAAUUCCAUUUUAGACAUUAUCUACCGAUUUCCUCUGUAAAAGAUGAAGAUUUAGUUGUCUUCCCUCAUCCUCCUGUUGCAAUUUUUGGUUAAAUCAAUAUUCAGUGCUUACAUUUUUAUGACUUUGAAAGUAUUGUUGGCAGUAAACAUCUAAUAGUGUUCUAUGAUUACAUUUUCUUUCUUGCAUAACUUUUUGUUUCUCCUGGAGUUAAUAACUGCUUUACUGUACAACCCUAAGAGGGACAUAUUCUAAGGACAAAGAGAAUUAUAAAGAAAUCUUAAACAGUGUUUGUAAUCAUAUCAUGAGUGGCUAUCGAAACAUGGCUUGUCUGAACUGAGAUGUGCUGCAAGCAUAAAACACACACUGGAUUUUGAAGACUUACUACAACAAAAAAAGGUCUAGGCGGUGAUCAUCAAUGGCUGUGUCCCCACUAACAGUCUCAUAACACCUAAACCCACUGACCAAUAUUAACAUCACAAAAAAAGAGAGAGGAGACUAGUCAUAUCUUGCUGAUGUGGUACAAAAGGAAGUACACACCACCACCUGUGAAUUGUUGCCAAAAAAUUGAUCCUGUAUCUGAUCAAACUGAUUUAACUAUCAGUUUUCAGGAGCUACAGGGCACAGAAGAAUAUUAGCCAGAUCCAGAAUCUGAGAACUUUUACGGGAUAAAUGACCUGUUUCUUCAUUUAAAAAAAAAAAACAAAAAAAACCAACCAACAACAAAACAAAACAAAACACGGGGAAAAAAUGGCAGAGGAGUAAAUAUAGGAAUGGAAGUUGAAGCCAGGGUCCCAUUUCUACCCACUGCUACAAAGGUUUAAGUCCCAAAUCCCUAAAUGAUCAGAAGCCAUUUGUCUCGAAGGGAAACAGGGGUAGGAAAUCAGAAACGGAGAAGAGACUGGACUACAUUUUGCUUUUCUCCACUCUUCUAUGCUGAAUCCCUCCCCCAGAAUAUGUUGAAGUCCUAACACCCAGUACCUCAGAAUGUAACCUUAUUGGAGAAAGGAUCUUUAAAGAGGCAAUUAAGUUAAAAUGAGGUCACUGGGGUGGGCCCUAAUCUAGUAGGACUGGUGUCCUUGCAAGAAGAGGCUAUUUGGAUACAGACACAACAAAGGGAAGGUGGUAUGAAGACACAGGGAGAAGAUGGCCAUCUACAAGCCAAGGGGAGAGGCCCUCAGAAGGAACCAAUCCUGCUGUCACCUGGAUCUUGGACUUCUAGCCUCCAGGACGGUAAGAAAAUUAAUUUCUGUUGUUUAAGCCACCCAGUCUGUGGUACUCUGUUACAGCAGCCCUAGCAGACCACUUAGUGUGUAUGGUACUCAUGAGAAUCAUCCCAUCUUUUAUAGUUUGAAAGAGAGGUGCAUUUUCUUUGCACAUGUCUCCCCAUAUGGGAAUGCCUGGCGGAAACUACUUCUUAGGACCUGAACUCACCAUUUCUGGGUAAACAAGUUGUCACCAUGGUGGGGAACCUGGCCCUAAUCACUCUAAUUGGCCUAAGUUCUUACCUUUACACCUGAAUGCUAUGUUUUCUCUUCAACAAAUGCUUCAUGGAUUUCUGUUGCUGUUGAUGUUGACUUUUGUAUCAAAGAACAUCAUCUUCUGUGUUGGGUGCAUGACUCAGCUGACUUUCUGUCUCUUCAUUAUCAUCUCUAAAUACUAUGUGUUGACAUUAAUGGCCUGUGAUUGCUUUGUAGCUAUUUAUAAUCCAUGAUUGUAUAAGGCACCACAUCUCAUCAGAUGUGUUCGGUGUUGAGGUUUGGGUUUGUGCAAGCGUGUGUGUGUGUGUGUGUGUGUGUGUGUGUGUGUGUGUGCGCGUGUAUGAGAUGGGAUUUGCUGGAGCCACUGCCCACGCAGGACAGAAGCUUAGGCCAACCUUCUGCAAUGUCAAUGUCAUCAACCAUUAUCUAUAUGACAGCUUCCUGGUCCUCUAAACACCUUGUAGCAGCACCUAUAUCAGUGAGGUGGUGGUUUUCACUGAAGUGGGCAUUGCUAUCACAGUACCUAGUCUUCAUUUCUUUUCAAUUUCAUCCAAUUUGCUCAAGGCAAAUCAAAACCAUGUGGCACCUGCCUCUCUCACAUCAAUGCCAUUUCUCUUUUCUUUGGCUAGUAGUAUUCCUGUAUCAAACAUU
Molecule: RNA transcript, 15010 nt
Organism: Physeter macrocephalus (sperm whale)
Lineage: Eukaryota; Metazoa; Chordata; Mammalia; Artiodactyla; Physeteridae
Gene: P2RY2
Gene name: purinergic receptor P2Y2
Exons: 4
Source: RefSeq, a predicted model, not a curated record